UGCAACUCGCCUCGCAUGAAGUCGGAAUUGCUAGUAAUCGCAGAUCAGCAUGCUGCGGUGAAUACGUUCCCGGGUCUUGUACACACCGCCCGUCACACCAUGGGAGUCGGUAACACCCGAAGUCGGUAGCCUAACCGUAAGGAGGGCGCCGCCGAAGGUGGGAUUGAUGACUGGGGUGAAGUCGUAACAAGGUAAC
RNAcentral lists this ribosomal RNA (196 nucleotides) under uncultured bacterium. RNAcentral's name for it is "partial 16S ribosomal RNA". It matches the Rfam family "Bacterial small subunit ribosomal RNA", at positions 1306 to 1500 of the family's 1533-position model. The record is from RNAcentral.